Molecule: ribosomal RNA, 403 nt
Filed under: Ancylus fluviatilis
Lineage: Eukaryota; Metazoa; Mollusca; Gastropoda; Ancylidae
Description: partial large subunit ribosomal RNA
Rfam family: Archaeal large subunit ribosomal RNA (bases 1-135)
Source: RNAcentral
AAACAUAGUUAAAAGUAAUAAUUUUUAAUUAUUCCUGCCCAGUGUAUAUAUAAACGGCCGCAGUACUUUGACUGUGCUAAGGUAGCAUAAUCAAUUGGCUUUUAAUUUGAGUCUAGAAUGAAAGGAUUUAUGAGGAUUUACUGUUUCAAAUAUAUAAUAUUGAAUUUAUUAAAAAAGUGAAAAUACUUUUAUUUUAAAAAAAGACGAGAAGACCCUAAGAAUUUUUAGAUAGUAUUAUAAAUUAUUUUCUUUUUGUUGGGGCGACAACUAAGCACUAAAACCUUAAUUAUUUUUUAUCGGUUUUUUCAGUAUAAAAUAAAUUACCUUAGGGAUAACAGCAUAAUUUUUGAAAGUUUGUGACCUCGAUGUUGGACUAGGAACUUUAUAGCUAGCAGUAAAAAAG